GCCGAUUUCCCAGAUUUCGAGGUUAAGCAUUCUUUUCUCACCCUCGUUCUCCCGGUCAAUUUCGAUUCUCUAGUUCUCGUUUCUUUCCUUGUUCGUCGUUCGAUUGAUUUUACUUGAAACUUCCCUAUAUUUAGUUAGAAAAAUACAUACAGAACAUUUACAUGUUUUUUUAUAUUUUCUCACUUAUUAGAAUAAUUCAUACAAAAUAUUUAUAUGUAAUAUCUCUACAUUGUCCCAAUUUAUUAAAAACAUUUGUACAGAAUAUUUAUAUAUAAUAUUACGAUCUCGUUAUCUUAUAUGUUUUCUUUUGCAAAAUUUAAGAACAUAAUACUAUUCAUUUCGAAAAAUUUUAUUCUUUUAAGGCUGAUAAUUUUGAUUAGUUUUAUUCUAUAGUUUCUUAGAUAAUUUUAAUUGAAGAUUAGAGAUUUUAGCAUCCGUUUGUAGCUAACUAUAGAGAAAACUAAUCCAGUAAGUGAAUUGCCCUUCAUGUUAGCAAUGAGAUAAGUGACUUCCAAUUGCAAUUACGAAAAUUUGAGGGAUUAUAACAAGUAUUUAAUCUACUAGAGAAUAUUUGAGCAUAAUAAUAAUACUAAAUAUAAAUCGACUUAAUUUGAUUUAAAUAAUUCUUUUUUAUUGAUGGAGUAUUACGGUAAUUUUGUAUGUAAACAUAUAUUACAAAAAAUAACUAGUUUCAAUGUGACUAUGUGAUGAAACCUGUAUAUGAAUAAUUUCGUAAGACUUGUUUAUUCCUUAUAUUCGUAAUUCUAAUAAUAGAUUUUUCGCUUAUGUAAUUUCUGAAAAGUGAUACUAAUCCCGCCUGCGGUUUUAUGAAACUUUCAUUCGAUGAAUAUUCUUUUUAAGUUGUCCCCAAUAAGAUCCUUUUACUUUACAGAUAUUGUUAUGUCGUAUCGCGUAUCAGAAGAUUUCAUUUGAAAUACUUUAUCAAACAUAAUAUAUCGAUAAAGUAUUUAUCAUUACAUUUCUUAUAUUGCAAAUCAAUGUUAUCCUAACUAAUUUCUUACAAUUGCAUUUGUUUUCAAUAAUUCGUAUAUUUUAUAAUAAUUUAUUAUCAGAGAACAGUCAUAUAUUCUGUGACGAUGUUCUGAAAGUUCCUCUCGAGUUUUUAUACCUGAAUCAUUCUUCCGAUCUUAGAUUAGAAGGUAGGGGUGGUUUUCGUUGGAGGAUACGUCCCUGUGGCCCACGUGAAAAGUACAGUCAGUCACGAAAGUCCUCCUACAUUCCUUAAAUUUUGAAUAUUAUAACAAAGAUUUUAUCUCUAGCAAUUCUUUGGAUUAAUUGAGUUUUAUUUACAAAUUAACGAAAAUCAUAAUAUCGAAUAAAUUCUAUGUCAUUUUGUAUCAUAUGUAGAUGUAAACUCUGUAAAAAAGGUACGUUUUUAAUCUCUUUUAAUAAAUGGGAUACAUAUACAAAAUGGAAUGUAGACUUUUAUACCUGACUGUAUAUACACAAUACUGUUUCGUUAAGGCUAACUGGCAAGUUAUCGAGGGAUGUAUGUUUCUAGCAAAUAUCGAGUAUCUCUCUUCUUCAGUGAAUGACACUGACAUACCGACACCUGACACAUUUGUUUAUUGUACUCACAUACGGCAGACGUAACACCAGAUAUCUCAAGAAGUGGUAGGGAUAGAAAUGGCCACCUAACGAAGCAAAAUUCUAUCCACUUAACGAGACACUACUGUUAUACACGCGGGAUGGGAGAGCAUUAGUAGUAAGAUCAGACAGUUCAACGUGGAUUCUCGGUCGUAGCAGGAACUCUUCGUAUUACGCGGCAUACAGGAUAUUUCUAUAAAAAAAUUCUUUCUUAUUUGCAACAAAUAAUUUUCUAAAUAUAUAUUAAUGAAAUUUUAGUAACUUUAUUAAUGCAAAUAGUAAAUACAAUUAUUAAACUAUGUUUGCGCUAGUGACUGGUGAAUGUGUAGAUGAAUCUUGACAUAAAUGUGAAGUUUUGUGAUUUUUGUGAUGCUGGAUUUUUUAUAGAGAUAAGAUAGAUUUCUUCUUUUAUUCUAUUGUCUUUAAUUGUAAUGGUUACAUUAUCAUUGCACAAGCUAUUAAUGACAUAGGGAGAAAAAGGAAAAAGGUUCACAGUUUGCUAUGUACAUUAUUUGGUGUUCUUUUAAAUAUUGUAACAAUUCAAUUGUGUAGGAUUUAAAAAUAGUUGUUUUCCCUAGUUAUUUUUGUCACUUACAUAAAUGAAGUGGUUUUAAUUAAAUUCUGCCUUUUCCUUAUUCCUUACUCUUCAGCUUUAUUGUUAGAGUUUGAUGAAAUAAUGUAUUAAAACGAUUAAUUAAUUUAUACAGUAAUACAGAAAUUAUAUUUAUAAUGAACUCUUUUUCCAUUUAACGAACAAUAGUGAUUCGAAUAUCGAGAUAACUAUCGAUGUUAUCGAAUUAUCCGCGAAUAAAUGUUACAUCUUGCAAAUCAAGUAUGUAAUGUUAUCGUAUAUGAAGGUGAUUUUUUAUCUUUUUGUUCAAUGAAAUCUUAAUAGUAAAUGAAAAUUUAUUGUCGAAUAGUUCAACAAUUUUGAUUAUAAAAUUUCUAAUUUCAUACUUUGCAUGUGAAAGCCACCGUGUUUCACAUAAACGUGAAUGCAUAAACCGGAGCUCGGCCGUUUUAUUCUAAGCAAAUAUAUUUCAAUGGACAAUGCAUGUAGUUAAUCAAUAAAAGCUGCUGUCAUAUAAUUAGUCUUGAUUAGCUACAGGAAUUUAUUUGCAGUAGUGUCUCCAUUUUUUCGUUCUCGAAGUAACAAUUACGCGGCUUUUAUUCUCCUAACAAUAAUU
Long non-coding RNA from Bombus terrestris (buff-tailed bumblebee), 2795 nucleotides. RefSeq lists it as uncharacterized. Lineage: Eukaryota; Metazoa; Arthropoda; Insecta; Hymenoptera; Apidae. The record is from RefSeq and is a predicted model, not a curated record. The transcript is spliced from 2 exons.